RNAcentral lists this ribosomal RNA (120 nucleotides) under uncultured bacterium. Its description in RNAcentral is "partial 16S ribosomal RNA". It matches the Rfam family "Bacterial small subunit ribosomal RNA", at positions 215 to 334 of the family's 1533-position model. The record is from RNAcentral.
UCGCCUAAGGAUGAGCCCGCGUAGGAUUAGCUUGUUGGUGAGGUAAAGGCUCACCAAGGCUACGAUCCUUAGCUGGUCUGAGAGGAUGAUCAGCCACACUGGGACUGAGACACGGCCCAG